Molecule: non-coding RNA, 95 nt
Organism: Mycena rebaudengoi
Lineage: Eukaryota; Fungi; Basidiomycota; Agaricomycetes; Agaricales; Mycenaceae
Source: the annotation of a GenBank genome assembly
GCCCUUGUGGAUGAAUUGGCACAUCACCCGUUAAUUGUCAUAGACAAACAAAAUCCUAUAAAUGGGAGGCGGAGGCUUGAAUCCUCCUGGGGGCA